This is a long non-coding RNA of Oreochromis aureus, 1127 nucleotides long. RefSeq lists it as uncharacterized. The transcript has 3 exons. NCBI's taxonomy places the organism in Eukaryota, Metazoa, Chordata, Actinopteri, Cichliformes, Cichlidae. The record is from RefSeq and is a predicted model, not a curated record.
UGUGUGUGUGCAUGUUAUUGCAGUGUGGGAUAAUGCAUUUCAAGAUGAAAGCACCAGGGAUACUUGUAAUGACAAGAGACUCUAACAGUGCAGCCUGACAGGAGGUGACCAGUGACCUUCCCGUACACACGAGGAUCCUGCUUCACAAGAACAGCCUCUCUAACUUUGGAAGGACAUGACAGCCUCUUGCUGUGCUUUGGCUGGAUCAGUUUCACAAUCACAAAUGACACAUAUCAGAUCAUCACUGGGGCGGCUGCGGUUGGGGCGGCAGAGCAGGUCGUCUAGUAAUCAGAAGGCGUCCCUUCUCCUUCGUCACGGCAUCAAUCAAGCGAACAGCAGAGUCCUCAGUUGUGGGUUGUAACUGGUGGUUCACUGACAGUUCAGGAAGCUUAUUUCCUCCCAGAGGUGACAUACACCGUAAUGUUCUCUCCCAACUCCCAUUUCCUUCUGUUGAUGAGUUUCCAUCUAAGCCUGCAGCAGCAGAAACAAAGACAGCUUCACUCCACAUAUCUUCAUCUAAACCUGGGUUACUACGGCUGAUGAUGCUGAAUCCUCAAGUGUUUGCAUUUAAAUCUUAAUUUGAUAAAAACGUCAUUCAACACAUAAAAUCCAUGCUCUAUAAAUAUCUUUUUUUUCGCCUGCUAAUUUUCUUGGCAUUUUUUGAAAGCCAAGUAUGUUUCCUCAAAAUGUACCUCUACAGAUCUAACAAGUGAACCCUAAGUGGCAUAAUGGCCAUAAAUGGUCCUCCAUUACAUUCAGCAACUUCAGAAACUCUGCACCCUUUUCAUCCUCAUUAAAGCAGCUUCUGAAAGUGAUGAUGGAUAUCAUCAAAACAAUUUUAUGUCUGGUCCCCCACGGAAAAGCUCAAGCCCUUCCUUCUGAACUCGAAGCACAAACAUCAGAGGCCAGCUAGAAGAUUUUCUUUUCAUCCUCAUAAUGCGACUUGGUCAGACUUUAAUAUUUGAUGCCAGCUGAAAUGUGACUAUUGUUGUCCAAAGAACAGAUACGGAUGAUUAAAGCAGUAACGAUGCUUAGAACGAAAGCUUGGCAAUAUGUUCAGCAGCUGUGUGGCCAUAACAGUUUUCCCCCGUUCAAAACCAUAAUAAUGAGCUUCAACAUCUACAGCA